UACAGAGGGGGCAAGCGUUGUUCGGAAUUACUGGGCGUAAAGGGCUCGUAGGUGGCCAACUAAGUCAGACGUGAAAUCCCUCAGCUUAACUGGGGAACUGCGUCUGAUACUGGAUGGCUUGAGUUUGGGAGAGGGAUGCGGAAUUCCGAGGUGUAGCGGUGAAAUGCGUAGAUAUCUGGAGGAACACCGGUGGCGAAGGCGGCAUCCUGGACCAACACUGACAUCUGGAGGAGCGAAAGCCAGGGGAGCGAAACG
This 255-nucleotide ribosomal RNA is filed under the name uncultured bacterium. RNAcentral describes it as "partial 16S ribosomal RNA". It matches the Rfam family "Bacterial small subunit ribosomal RNA", at positions 524 to 775 of the family's 1533-position model. The record is from RNAcentral.